Molecule: long non-coding RNA, 429 nt
Filed under: Oryza brachyantha (malo sina)
Lineage: Eukaryota; Viridiplantae; Streptophyta; Magnoliopsida; Poales; Poaceae
Description: long non-coding RNA (OBRA_LNC000599)
Source: RNAcentral
CAAGUGUCAACCAUGGCAACUACAUAUGCCCAGUAUGUCGUGCUGAGUGGAAAGAAAUUCCCUUCGAGGGUACGCAACCUGCUGACAUUAUGAAUGUUUUCGCUAAUUUGCAGGUUCUGAUUAAUUAGCACAUUAAUAUUUUCUGUUCACUUUCUUCAUUUCAGAAGGUAUGUGCCAUUUCCCUUGGUGGCAUCAGGACAGGAGGGCAAGCCUUGUUCAUAGCCGAAUGCUCCCACGAAUUCCAUUUUCAUUGCAUCUCUUCAAGUGUCAACCAUGGCAACUACAUAUGCCCAGUACUCAACCUGCAGACAACGCUUAUGAAAGAUCUUGAGUAAGCCCUGUAAAUUGGCCCCAGGAUGAGGGACAAAUGUCUGUUGUCUGUUGCAAAUCCCCGAGGACGCCGAGAGCUAUCAAACUAACCACAUAUCU